GUCCAUGUGGCGGAAUGGAAUACGCGUGCGACUCAGAAUCGCAUGGUUUAUACCGUAUGGGUUCAAGUCCCAUCAUGGACA
RNAcentral lists this transfer RNA (81 nucleotides) under Hungatella hathewayi. RNAcentral's name for it is "tRNA-Leu". It matches the Rfam family "tRNA". From Rfam's summary of the family: Transfer RNA (tRNA) molecules are approximately 80 nucleotides in length. Their secondary structure includes four short double-helical elements and three loops (D, anti-codon, and T loops). Further hydrogen bonds mediate the characteristic L-shaped molecular structure. tRNAs have two regions of fundamental functional importance: the anti-codon, which is responsible for specific mRNA codon recognition, and the 3' end, to which the tRNAs corresponding amino acid is attached (by aminoacyl-tRNA synthetases). tRNAs cope with the degeneracy of the genetic code in two manners: having more than one tRNA (with a specific anti-codon) for a particular amino acid; and 'wobble' base-pairing, i.e. permitting non-standard base-pairing at the 3rd anti-codon position. RNAcentral also lists the same sequence under 1 other name. Lineage: Bacteria; Bacillati; Bacillota; Clostridia; Lachnospirales; Lachnospiraceae. The record is from RNAcentral.